RNAcentral lists this ribosomal RNA (332 nucleotides) under uncultured Methylobacterium sp. RNAcentral's name for it is "bacterial SSU rRNA". It matches the Rfam family "Bacterial small subunit ribosomal RNA", at positions 1 to 359 of the family's 1533-position model. The record is from RNAcentral. Lineage: Bacteria; Pseudomonadati; Pseudomonadota; Alphaproteobacteria; Hyphomicrobiales; Methylobacteriaceae.
UUCGCCCUUAGAGUUUGAUCCUGGCUCAGAGCGAACGCUGGCGGCAGGCUUAACACAUGCAAGUCGAGCGGGCCCUUCGGGGUCAGCGGCAGACGGGUGAGUAACGCGUGGGAACGUGCCCUUCGGUUCGGAAUAACCCUGGGAAACUAGGGCUAAUACCGGAUACGCCCCUUGGGGGAAAGGUUUACUGCCGAAGGAUCGGCCCGCGUCUGAUUAGCUAGUUGGUGAGGUAACGGCUCACCAAGGCGACGAUCAGUAGCUGGUCUGAGAGGAUGAUCAGCCACACUGGGACUGAGACACGGUCCAGACUCCUACGGGAGGCAGCAGAAGGG